Molecule: ribosomal RNA, 774 nt
Filed under: uncultured Neocallimastigales
Lineage: Eukaryota; Fungi; Neocallimastigomycota; Neocallimastigomycetes; Neocallimastigales
Description: partial large subunit ribosomal RNA
Rfam family: Eukaryotic large subunit ribosomal RNA
Source: RNAcentral
UACGACUACAUAUCAGGCAUAUCAAUAAGCGGAGGAAAAGAAACUAACAAGGAUUCCCUUAGUAACGGCGAGUGAAGCGGGAAGAGCUCAAAUUUGAAAUCUUCAAGGUUCUACCUUGACGAAUUGUAGUUUAAAGAAGUGUUUUCUGUUAGAUGAGUAGCAAAAGUUCCUUGGAAUGGGACAUCAUAGAGGGUGAGAAUCCCGUAUUUGGUUAUUCAUUCUAGCUUUGUGAUACACUUUCAAAGAGUCGGAUUGUUUGGGAAUGCAGUCCAAAAUGGGUGGUAAAUUUCAUCUAAAGCUAAAUAUUGGCGAGAGACCGAUAGCGAACAAGUACCGUGAGGGAAAGAUGAAAAGAACUUUGAAAAGAGAGUUAAACAGUACGUGAAAUUGUCAAAAGGGAAGCGUUUGACACCAGUGUUGUUUUUCCGAAAAUCAAUUACGAAUGGCUUGAUUUUGUGUUGUAUUGACCUUAUCAGCUUUCUUCACUUUUUUCGAGUCUUUCUUAAUGCACUUUUCGGUUAACAAGUCAACAUCAAUUUCUUUUGUUGUAAAAGAGUAUUCGGAAGGUGGCUUUCUUUUCGGAGAAAGUGUUUAUAGCCCUAUACUUCUACAAUCGGAGAGAUUGAGGUCUAGCAGCGUAGAUCCUUCGGGGUUAGAUACACUUGUGCUAAGUUGUAGCUUUUCAUAGACAACUUGUUGACUAUGUUUAGUCAUGCGGCUUACUCGCUUGUGCUAUUUUACCUACGCUUAGGAUGUUGAGUAGCGACAUACGCA